This is a non-coding RNA of Acanthosepion pharaonis, 111 nucleotides long. NCBI's taxonomy places the organism in Eukaryota, Metazoa, Mollusca, Cephalopoda, Sepiida, Sepiidae. The record is from the annotation of a GenBank genome assembly.
GGGUCACAUCACGUUGAAAUGCCAGUUCCCGUACGAUCAUCGAAGUUAAGCAACGUCGAACCUAGACAGUAUUCAGAUGGUUGACCGCUUGGAAAUAUCAGGUGCUGUAAU